RNAcentral lists this long non-coding RNA (283 nucleotides) under Homo sapiens (human). Its description in RNAcentral is "HSALNT0035233". Lineage: Eukaryota; Metazoa; Chordata; Mammalia; Primates; Hominidae. The record is from RNAcentral.
ACUAUUUUUUCCUCACUUUAUUUACCAUCAAUUCAGAUACUUAUAUGUCUUGCACAUUUGCAGGCACUAUUAAUAUAAAACUGGAGUAUACAAUUUAUAAUAAGGACUUGGUCUUCCCUUGGGGGCUUAUGUUUAGUAGAGACUGAUGACGGUAUAUAUACAUGAAAUUGUUAAAAUGGGUUAUAAUUAAGUGCUGGGGGAGUAGGGGAGAGAUCAGAAGUUACCAGGAAUUCAGAAGAGGGAGUAAGUCUGUGGUCAGAUGGGUUCAUAGAGAAGAUGAGGC